Molecule: ribosomal RNA, 330 nt
Filed under: uncultured eukaryote
Lineage: Eukaryota
Description: partial 18S ribosomal RNA
Rfam family: Eukaryotic small subunit ribosomal RNA
Source: RNAcentral
CCCUUAGAUGUCCUGGGCUGCACGCGCGCUACACUGAUGCAUUCAACGAGUUUAGAACCUGCGCCGAAAGGUUUGGGUAAUCUUCUAAAACUGCAUCGUGACGGGGAUAGAUUAUUGCAAUUAUUAAUCUUCAACGAGGAAUUCCUAGUAAAUGUGAGUCAUCAGCUCACGUUGAUUACGUCCCUGCCCUUUGUACACACCGCCCGUCGCUCCUACCGAUUGAAUGAUCCGGUGAAAUCUUUGGAGUGGAACUUGGUUGUCACCAUUGGUGCGCCUCGUACUGCGAAGUUGCUUAAACCUUAUCAUUUAGAGGAAGGAGAANUCGUAACA